UGGCAGAAAAACUGCUUUCCCAUGGUGCAC
RNAcentral lists this non-coding RNA (30 nucleotides) under Homo sapiens (human). The record is from RNAcentral. Lineage: Eukaryota; Metazoa; Chordata; Mammalia; Primates; Hominidae.